RNAcentral lists this unclassified non-coding RNA (2002 nucleotides) under Hevea brasiliensis (rubber tree). Lineage: Eukaryota; Viridiplantae; Streptophyta; Magnoliopsida; Malpighiales; Euphorbiaceae. The record is from RNAcentral.
GGGGUUGGAGUUUAGUUAAAGUAGAAGAAAGGGGAAAAAGUGACAACUGUUGGCUUUUAUGGAGCUUUGAAGUUAUUGUACUUCUCCGAUCGGCUAUUGCUACUCUGCUGCUCUGUUAUACUCAGCAGCUCUGUAAUUGGAAAGAGAUUUAUAAUCACAACUCACAAUAGUACUAGAUGGCGACACUUGGAGAUAUAGGCCUUGCAGCAGCAAUAAAUAUUAUAUCUGCCUUGAUCUUUCUUGUGGCAUUUGCAAUUUUGCGGCUCCAACCAUUCAAUGACAGAGUUUAUUUCCCCAAAUGGUAUCUUAAGGGGCUGAGACACAGUCCCACCCACUCUGGGGCAUUCGUCGCCAAAUUUGUUAAUGUUGAUUGGAGAGCAUAUAUAAGGUUUCUGAACUGGAUACCAGAUGCUCUGAAAAUGCCUGAACCUGAGCUUAUUGACCAUGCAGGGUUGGACUCUGCUGUUUAUUUGCGCAUAUACUUGCUAGGGCUAAAAAUCUUUGUUCCCAUAACGUUGCUUGCAUGGGCUAUCCUGGUACCUGUAAAUUGGACAAAUAGCACUCUGACAAAAUCCGACUUUACUUAUAGUGACAUUGAUAAGCUUUCCAUUUCAAAUGUUCCGCUUGGAUCUCUCAGGUUUUGGACUCAUAUUGUUAUGGCUUAUGCCUUCUCAUUCUGGACCUGCUAUGUCUUAAAAACUGAGUAUGCAAAAGUUGCAGCCAUGAGGUUGCAGUUUGUCGCCUCUGAAAAACGUCGUCCCGACCAAUAUACAGUCCUUGUUAGGAAUGUUCCGCCAGAUGCUGAUGAAUCAGUUAGUGAAUGUGUGGAGCACUUUUUCCUGGUUAACCAUCAAGAUCAUUAUCUCAUGCAUCAGGGUGUUUAUAAUGCCAACAAACUGGCAAAAUUGGUGAAGGAGAAGAAGAGUAAGCAAAAUUGGCUCGACUAUUACCAACUUAAGUACUCUAGGGAUCAAUCAAAACGGCCUAUGAUGAAGACUGGUUUCCUUGGAUGCUUUGGAGCAAAAGUCGACGCAAUUGAGCAUCAGAUUGCUGAAAUUGAAAGAUUGACAAAAGAGAUAGCUGAAGAGAAACAAAGGGUAGAAAAAGACCCAAAGUCUACCAUGCCUGCAUCAUUUGUCUCCUUCAAAUCGCGGUGGGGUGCUGCUGUUUGUGCACAAACACAGCAAUCCAGAAAUCCAACCUUGUGGUUGACAGAAUGGGCUCCAGAGCCACGUGAUGUAUUUUGGGAUAACCUGGCAAUCCCCUAUGUUUCUUUGACAAUUAGGAAGCUCAUCAUUGCUGUUGCCUUCUUUUUUCUGACAUUCUUCUUCAUGAUCCCGAUUGCAUUUGUCCAAACCCUUGCCAGCCUUGAGGGGAUUAGGAAGAAAGCACCAUUUCUGAAAGUUAUUAUUGACGAACCUUUCAUCAAGGCGUUCAUCCAAGGUUUUCUACCUGGGAUUGCUUUGAAGAUCUUUCUCAUAUUUCUGCCAACUAUAUUGAUGAUGAUGUCCAAAUUCGAGGGCUGGCUAAGCAUAUCAGCUCUAGAGAGGAAAUCUGCGUCUAAAUACUACAUCUUCACUAUCGUGAAUGUGUUCCUCGGGAACAUAAUUGCAGGAGCUGCAUUUGAACAACUAAGUACCUUUCUCAAUCAGUCGGCAAACCAAAUCCCUAAAACGAUUGGUGUCGCAGUUCCUAUGAAAGCAUCCUUCUUCAUAACCUACAUAAUGGUUGACGGCUGGGCUGGUAUUGCUGGAGAGAUCCUAAGGCUGAAGCCGCUAAUAUUUUACCACUUGAAGAACUUUUUCUUGGUUAAGACGGAAAAAGAUAGAGAAGAGGCAAUGGAUCCUGGAAGCGUUGGUUUCAACACAGGAGAACCACAGAUACAAUUAUAUUUCUUAUUGGGGCUUGUCUAUGCUGUGGUCACACCAUUUCUGCUUCCGUUCAUAUUGGUCUUCUUUGGCCUUGCAUAUGUAGUAUAUCGUCAUCAGAUUAUAAAUGUUUA